GGAAGGAUCAUUAACACAUCCAUUAACCUCACCAUUUAACAACCUGUUACGUAUGAAUAGAUGAACAUUUAUUCAUACGCAUACACUUACAUACCUUUAAACAAAACAUACAUUUAACAAGCCUGCUUUACAGCAAAACAAAAAGAAAAUUUUCAACGAUGGAUAUCUUGGUUCCCAUAACGAUGAAGAACGCAGCGAAAUGCGAAAGGCAAUGCGAAUUGCAGAAUUCCGCGAGUCAUCAGAUAUUUGAACGUAAGUGGCGCCGAUCGGAUAUCCGGUUGGCAUGCUUGUUUCAGUGUCAUAAAUUCUCACAAAUCUAAAUGUGAUUGAUAAAUGAUUUUGCGUGCUUUGCAUACAAUUUUCACGAAUCUCUCAUGAAAUUAGAAUGUGUCAGUGCUUCAACACAACGAAGUAGUCACAUUUCAUGUGAUCUCGUUGUUGAGGGAGUAACUCUGCAACACAUAGAGGUUUAUCCUCUUCAAAUAGAAUCUGAAAUCAAGCAAGAACACCCGCUGAACUUAAGCAUAUCAGUAAGCGGAGGAAAAGAAAUUAACUAAGAUUGCCUUAGUAACGGCGAGUGAAGAGGCAAGAGCUCAAGCCUAAAAUCUGGAACACAAGUUUCAGAAUUGUAGUCUAAAGGCAAAGGCAGAAGGCAUGGAGUAUGCAUAAGUCUUCCGGAAAGGAGGGUCAAAGAGGGUGAUAAUCCCGUAAAGCAAUACUCUGGCCGUAUGCCGAAACCAAAGAGUCGGGUUGUUUGGGACUGCAGCCCUAAAUGGGAGAUAAACUUCUUCUAAGGCUAAAUAUUUAUGGGAAACCGAUAGCGAACAAGUACUGUGAAGGAAAGAUGAAAAGAACUUUGAAAAGAGAGUUAAAAGACUUGAAAUCGUUGAGAAGGAAGCGGUAGAAAAGAAUUAGUUGGGGGUGACGUAAGGACGGAAAGUACCGGUCUGUGGCGAGUGGAGUACGUAAAAGGCUUGCUUGUUACAGAUAACGGGGCUUUCGCUGUCUUCAUCUCCAAAGGGCAAGAUGAGAUCAGUAGUGCUGGAAACACUGAGUAGGACGACCCCGCAAGGGAGCCUGCACAGAAUACGGCACGUUUGGUCUGAGGGGCUAAGGCGAUCUUGCCAAAAUGGUUUCUACUGACCCGUCUUGAAACACGGACCAAGGAGUCUAACAAUUGCGCGAGUGUGCGAGUGAAAAACUCAUACGCGAAAUGAAAGUGAGUACAAGAUGUGAAGGGCAACCUGCAACAUCGACCGGCCACGAUCUUCUGUGAGAGGUCCGCGUAAGAGCGUACUUGUUAGGACCCGAAAGAUGGUGAACUAUACUUGAGUAGGGUGAAGUCAGAGGAAACUCUGAUGGAAGCUCGUAGCGGUACUGACGUGCAAAUCGUUCGUCAAACUUGAGUAUAGGGGCGAAAGACUAAUCGAACCAUCUAGUAGCUGGUUCCCUC
RNAcentral lists this unclassified non-coding RNA (1453 nucleotides) under uncultured fungus. RNAcentral's name for it is "sequence contains 18S rRNA gene, ITS1, 5.8S rRNA gene, ITS2, 28S rRNA gene". The stretch from base 486 to 1453 matches the Rfam family "Eukaryotic large subunit ribosomal RNA", at positions 1 to 961 of the family's 3401-position model. The record is from RNAcentral. Lineage: Eukaryota; Fungi.